UGGAAGACUAGUGAUUUUGUUGUUUACCACUUGCACAUGCACAACAAGUCACGGUCUGCCGCA
This 63-nucleotide microRNA precursor is filed under the name Eptatretus burgeri (inshore hagfish). RNAcentral's name for it is "Ebu-Mir-7-P6_pre stem-loop". Lineage: Eukaryota; Metazoa; Chordata; Myxini; Myxiniformes; Myxinidae. The record is from RNAcentral.